Molecule: ribosomal RNA, 541 nt
Filed under: uncultured bacterium
Lineage: Bacteria
Description: bacterial SSU rRNA
Rfam family: Bacterial small subunit ribosomal RNA
Source: RNAcentral
UUUGCGCAAUGGGGGAAACCCUGACGCAGCAACGCCGCGUGGGAGGAUGAAGUACUUCGGUACGUAAACUCCUUUCGAUCGGGACGAUUAUGACGGUACCGAGAGAAGAAGCCCCGGCUAACUUCGUGCCAGCAGCCGCGGUAAUACGAGGGGGGCGAGCGUUGUUCGGAAUUAUUGGGCGUAAAGGGUGCGUAGGCGGUUUGGUAAGUCUCGUGUGAAAUCUAUGGGCUCAACUCAUAGUCUGCACGAGAAACUGCCGGGCUUGAGUGUGGGAGAGGUGAGUGGAAUUUCCGGUGUAGCGGUGAAAUGCCGUAGAUAUCCGGAAGGAACACCUGUGGCGAAAGCGGCUCACUGGACCACAACUGACGCUGAUGCACGAAAGCUAGGGGAGCAAACAGGAUUAGAUACCCUGGUAGUCCUAGCCCUAAACGAUGACUGCUUGGUGUGACGGGUACCCAAUCCCGCCGUGCCGUAGCUAACGCGUUAAGCAGUCCGCCUGGGGAGUACGGUCGCAAGGCUGAAACUCAAAAAAAUUGACGGA